RNAcentral lists this unclassified non-coding RNA (155 nucleotides) under soil metagenome. RNAcentral's name for it is "partial internal transcribed spacer 1". The record is from RNAcentral.
CAGAGUUAUCCAACUCCCAAACCCAUGUGAACUUAUCUCUUUGUUGCCUCCGGCGCAAGCUACCCGGGACCUCGCGCCCCGGGCGGCCCGCCGGCGGACAAACCAAAACUCUUGUUAUCUUAGUUGAUUAUCUGAGUGUCUUAUUUAAUAAGUCA